UACGGAGGGUGCAAACGUUGCUCGGAAUCAUUGGGCGUAAAGCGCGCGUAGGCGGCGAGGCAAGUUGGAUGUGAAAGCCCUGGGCUCAACCUAGGAUGUGCAUACAAAACUGCCUCGCUUGAAUCUCGGAGGGGGUCAGGGAAUUCCCGGUGUAGAGGUGAAAUUCGUAGAUAUCGGGAGGAACUCCAGUGGCGAAGGCGCUGACCUGGACGAUGGUUGACGCUGAGGCGCGAAAGCGUGGGGAGCAAACAGG
This 253-nucleotide ribosomal RNA is filed under the name uncultured bacterium. RNAcentral describes it as "partial 16S ribosomal RNA". It matches the Rfam family "Bacterial small subunit ribosomal RNA", at positions 524 to 776 of the family's 1533-position model. The record is from RNAcentral.